GCACGGGCGCGGCCAGGGCGGCUUUUUGGGGCGGGGGCAGCGGGCGAGGCCGCGGAGGGUCGGGCAGCGGCACGUCGGGGUUGCGGACGAUGACCGGAGAGCCGCGGGGCACCGGGGGCUCAGCCCCUCCCCGGGCCGCGGGGUCCCGGCGCUCAGGUGCCGCCCGCGGGCGCGGGGCGAGGCGCUGACCGGGCUGAAGUUGGCGGGGCGGAAACCGAAAAGGGGAGACGGGGACGGGGAAGGAGCGGGCGAGAAGGGAGACUGGGUGGAGGCCGGCGAGAAGCUCGGCGUGCCCGAGCGCGACGAGCCCAGCGACACGAGCAUCACGGCGGCUUCGCACUCGUCGAACUCGAAGCGCGACAGGUCCGGGUUGGGCGGCGGCGCCGCGGCCGCUCCGCCGAGCCGAGCGCGGCCGUCGCCGUCGCUCUCCCGGGACGUUUCGUCUCCCCACUCGAAAUCGGCGCUGCCGCCGCGUUGGCUCGAGGGUCCCGGGGGUCCCCCGCGGGUCUCGGGGAGCCCCUCGAGCUCCUUGGUGCGCAUGGAGAGGUGACGGGAGCAGAAGCCGCGCCGCUGCGACUCUUUGGUGCAGCCGUCGCGGGAGCAGAGCCGCCGCCACUGCUUGCCGUUGAAUUUCUUGCGGAUGCCGUUCGGGGUGCAAACCACGUCGCCCUUCUUGUAUUUGGGCUGCGGGGUCCCCCCGGCCGAGCUCUGCGGGGUUCCCGCGGCCGGCGGAGCCGCGCCGGGCCGGGCCGGGGCUCCGGCGCUCAGCUUGGAAACCUCGGCGUCCUCCGCUUGCCUCGGAGCGGCGGCGGCGGCUUCGUCCUCCUCAUCCUCGGCGGGGUCGCCGCGGGCGUGCGGCGGCCACGGGGGUCGCAGCAGGCGGAGCCCCGAGCGCGGCACCCACACGGGGGGCGCGGGGGGCGGCGGAGCGAAGCGCACCCGGUACGAGGGCGGCUUGGCGCUCACCUCCACCACCGUGCCCGGCCGGUAGAGAGUCUCGGCGGGGUCCAGGCGGGCGCACACCGCCGUGCCCACGCCCAGCGCUCCGGCCGGCGGCGUGGCGUCCAACACCACGGCCGGCGGGUCUCCGAGGAGGAAGCCGCCCUCCAGGAAAGUCACGCCGCGGUCGCCGGCGAACUGAACGCCGAGCUCGUGGCCGCGCCGGAGCUGCUUGACC
Molecule: long non-coding RNA, 1177 nt
Filed under: Lonchura striata (white-rumped munia)
Lineage: Eukaryota; Metazoa; Chordata; Aves; Passeriformes; Estrildidae
Description: domestica (Bengalese finch) lncRNA (ENSLSDG00000002943.1)
Source: RNAcentral